This 1545-nucleotide long non-coding RNA is filed under the name Phascolarctos cinereus (koala). RNAcentral describes it as "lncRNA (ENSPCIG00000036404.1)". Lineage: Eukaryota; Metazoa; Chordata; Mammalia; Diprotodontia; Phascolarctidae. The record is from RNAcentral.
CUGCUCCAGUUGCCAUGGAGACGGGAAGCUGAACAAUGAGGCUCCAAUCCAGCAUGUCAGGCGCUGGUGAAAGGCGCCCACCACACCCAGCCCCCACCCCCUUGCCCCGGACACCAGCCUGGACCUCCCAGGCCUCCCCAGGGAGGAGAGAGGAGCCAGCCAGCCCGGGGGGGGGGGUGAGGAGAGGGAGUGGAGAGCCCAGCCCCAUUACUCAAAAACUGGCCAAUGGGUUGCCUGGGAUUAAUGCUGGAAGAUCCCCUAGCGACCAUCUAGACGGUUUCUCCUUCUUCCCAUUUUACAGGGCCAGGACCGGAGCUCGAAGGCAGGCACGCAGCCGCCAAGCCAGGGCUCUCUCCAUCACCAUGGAUUGACCCGGUUUGUCUCCUCUCCCACCCUGAAGCUGCCCUUUACUUUCUGUGUCCUCAGAAUGCCACCUCAGAGCAGGGAACAGAGAGCAGCGGAAAUGAGCGCCCUCUCCCCAUUCCCCCCAAAAAGAAAUAGGACGACCCUCGGAACAAAGGAUGUCAGAUGUGGGAAAGACCUUGGAACAGGGAGCAGAGAGGGUCAGAGCUGGACUUCCCACUACAAAGUCCCGAGGACGCAGGAGUCAGUGUCCUGGAAGAUCUCCAGGGAAGAGAAGCUGCCGCCUCCCAAGAGAAGCCCAUCCCACUUUCCUAGGGCUCUAUAAACUUGACUCGACUCUGCAUCUCCUUCCCUUUGCUCCCAGUGUCCCAGUUCUGGAACCAAGCAGAGUGUUUGCCACCCCAAAAAGAGGGGCUCUGAGUGUAUUUGUACAGAUGGCUCCUUUUCCUCCUCCUUUGAUCUCAGUUCAGCAAACAGUAAAUACAGGUUCUUGUCAUGUGCACUGAGAGGACAAAGAUGACAAAUGUCACAGUCUUGACUUCAAGGAACAGAUGAAUGGCAGGGACACACACACUCACACAUACACACCAGAAUGGGAAAAAAAAAAGCUAGCACAGGAUGAGGGCAGCAAAGUAGUCUAUGACAAUCUGAGGAGAGAGAAAUGACUGUGUCCAUGAAGGAAUCAAGGAGGGCUUCUGGGGGAGGUCACACCUGGGCUGAACCAUGAAGGCAAAGACUGACAGGUAAAGCUGGGGCUGGGGAGAGGGACUGGCCAACUAGGUGUGCACAGAUAUAAGAGGGAAAUCCUCAGAACUGUCCGCGGUGUAAGAUGUAUGCAGUGGAGAGAGAAGGUUUGGUAGCAGGUUGCAGCCAGAGGCUGUGGGCAGGCCUCCAACGUCCCCCUGAGAGCCUCCAGUCUGCAAGCAAGCCCUGAAGGUUUCUGAGCAAGGAGGAGCUGGCCUAGGGACUCUCCACCUCCUGCCUCUCUGUACCAGUCAAAGCCCCCAGUGAGCUUGCUGAGCCCCACUCUCACCCCUUUCGUGACAUCCACCCCAGGGAUGGCAUCUACAGGGUCCUAAAUUCCUUUUUUGGUCACAUUUCCUAUUUUUAAUGGACUACACGGAACUCACCACUUAAAGGAACUCAGCUUAGGUGUCUUGCUGUAAAAGGAGUCCAAUAAAC